CCUACGGGGGGCAGCAGUGGGGGAUAUUGCACAAUGGGGGGAACCCUGAUGCAGCGACGCCGCGUGGGUGAAGAAGCGCCUCGGCGCGUAAAGCCCUGUCAGCAGGGAAGAAAAUGACGGUACCUGAAGAAGAAGCCCCGGCUAACUACGUGCCAGCAGCCGCGGUAAUACGUAGGGGGCAAGCGUUAUCCGGAUUUACUGGGUGUAAAGGGGGCGUAGACGGCUGUGCAAGCCAGGAGUGAAAGCCCGGGGCUCAACCCCGGGACUGCUCUUGGAACUGCGUGGCUGGAGUGCAGGAGAGGUAGGCGGAAUUCCUGGUGUAGCGGUGAAAUGCGUAGAUAUCAGGAGGAACACCAGUGGCGAAGGCGGCCUGCUGGACUGUAACUGACGUUGAGGCCCGAAAGCGUGGGGAGCAAACAGGAUUAGAUACCCCUGUAGUC
RNAcentral lists this ribosomal RNA (440 nucleotides) under uncultured bacterium. Its description in RNAcentral is "partial 16S ribosomal RNA". It matches the Rfam family "Bacterial small subunit ribosomal RNA", at positions 338 to 795 of the family's 1533-position model. The record is from RNAcentral.